Molecule: transfer RNA, 76 nt
Filed under: Nitrospirae bacterium RBG_13_41_22
Lineage: Bacteria; Pseudomonadati; Nitrospirota
Also listed under: 1 other name
Description: tRNA-His
Rfam family: tRNA
About the family: Transfer RNA (tRNA) molecules are approximately 80 nucleotides in length. Their secondary structure includes four short double-helical elements and three loops (D, anti-codon, and T loops).
Source: RNAcentral
GUGAGUGUAGCUCAACGGUCAGAGCACUGGACUGUGGCUCCAGGGGUUGGGGGUUCGAGUCCCCUCACUCACCCCA